Small nuclear RNA from Sorex araneus (European shrew), 104 nucleotides. The record is from RefSeq and is a predicted model, not a curated record. NCBI's taxonomy places the organism in Eukaryota, Metazoa, Chordata, Mammalia, Eulipotyphla, Soricidae.
UUGCUCACUUUGGCAGCACAUAUACUAAAAUUGGAACGAUACAGAGAGUAGCAUGGCCCCUGCGAAAGGGUGACAAGCAAAUUUGUGAGCAUUCCAUACUGAUU